Molecule: transfer RNA, 71 nt
Filed under: Acropora cervicornis
Lineage: Eukaryota; Metazoa; Cnidaria; Anthozoa; Scleractinia; Acroporidae
Description: tRNA-Thr
Rfam family: tRNA
About the family: Transfer RNA (tRNA) molecules are approximately 80 nucleotides in length. Their secondary structure includes four short double-helical elements and three loops (D, anti-codon, and T loops). Further hydrogen bonds mediate the characteristic L-shaped molecular structure. tRNAs have two regions of fundamental functional importance: the anti-codon, which is responsible for specific mRNA codon recognition, and the 3' end, to which the tRNAs corresponding amino acid is attached (by aminoacyl-tRNA synthetases). tRNAs cope with the degeneracy of the genetic code in two manners: having more than one tRNA (with a specific anti-codon) for a particular amino acid; and 'wobble' base-pairing, i.e. permitting non-standard base-pairing at the 3rd anti-codon position.
Source: RNAcentral
GCCUCAUUAGCUGAGGGCAGAGCACUGAUCUUGUAAACCAGGGGUCGAGGGUUCAAAUCCCUCAUGAGGCU